This 419-nucleotide small RNA is filed under the name Arabidopsis thaliana (thale cress). RNAcentral describes it as "ATSL201720". The record is from RNAcentral. Lineage: Eukaryota; Viridiplantae; Streptophyta; Magnoliopsida; Brassicales; Brassicaceae.
UUAUUUUUAUAAAUCAAUGAUAAAUAAUUAUCAUUAUUAAUAAUUAUUAAUUCAUUAUCAUCAAACUUAGGAUAUUUACGGAUUCUGAUAUUUACGGGUUUACGUUUUUGGCGGGAAAAUGAUGUAUUUAUGUUUUUGGCGGGAAAAUUACGGGUUUACGUUUUUGGCGGGAAAAUUACAGGUUUACGUUUUUGGCGAGAAAAUUACGGGUGUACGUUUCUGCGGAAAAUCACGGAUUUACGUUUUUUGGCGGGACAAUUACGGGUUUACGUAUUUUUGGCAAGAAAAUCACGGAUUUACGUUUUUUGGCGGGAAAAUCACGGGUUUACGUCUUUCGCGGGAAAAUCACAGAUUUAUGCUUUUUGGUGGAAAAAUUACGAGUUUACUUUUUCUCAAUUUUAUCGCUUGAAUAUUUAAGC